This 368-nucleotide unclassified non-coding RNA is filed under the name uncultured fungus. RNAcentral's name for it is "partial contains small subunit ribosomal RNA, internal transcribed spacer 1, and 5.8S ribosomal RNA". The stretch from base 1 to 73 matches the Rfam family "Eukaryotic small subunit ribosomal RNA", at positions 1759 to 1831 of the family's 1831-position model. The record is from RNAcentral. Lineage: Eukaryota; Fungi.
CCAAACUUGGUCAUUUAGAGGAAGUAAAAGUCGUAACAAGGUUUCCGUAGGUGAACCUGCGGAAGGAUCAUUACCGAGUCAUCGCUGGGGUUUCACCUCCUCCUCGGAGGAGGUCCCCGACUCCCACCCUACCGCGAACCGUUCCCUCGUUGCUUCGGCGGACCGGCCGUCGGGUUGAGGUCGACCCUCGUCCGACGGCCACCGCGACGCCGCCUCUCUUUUGAGGGCGCGUCGGGCCGACGUCCGCCGGAGGAUCCUCCAACCCUCGAACGUGACCGGUCUGAAAGAAACGAUCCCCUCCGGGGGAGGAAUGGAGGAAAACUUUCAACAACGGAUCUCUUGGCUCCGGCAUCGAUGAAGAACGCAGC